GAAGAGGGGCAGGAUCACCUCCCCCAACCUCCUGACAAUACUCCACCUAAUGUACCCCAAAAUCCAGUUGACCUUCUUAGCCACAAGGAUAUGCUUCUCACGGACAGCUUGUUGUCAUUCUCCACAGAGCUGCUUUCCAGUAGGUCUGCCCCCAGCCUGUCCUGGUGCGUGGGGUUAUUCCUCCCCAGGUCAAGGACCCUGCAUUUGCCUUUGCUGAACUCCAGACAGUUCAUCUCUGCCCAUCUGUCCAAUCUGUGGAGGUCCUUCUGAAGGGCCACUCCUCCAGGCUUUGUGUCAGCGAACUUCCUGAAAAGGUGUCUAAGCAUUGACCCAAGUUACUGGUGUCAAGCAGGCUCAUUACAGUGUACAGAAAGCUCUCUGUGCAACAGAUCAACCUGAAGAGGCUUAUCUUUGUGGCUGCUGUCUAUACAGUCAUAAUUAAAUAAAAGCAGAUGGAGAAGGCUCUAAAUAAUCAUGACUGCAAGAUAAAUAAAACACUGGGAUAUUGUGUAGCCUGCUGCAAAGUAUUGUUUGUUCAGUGCCAAGUAAUCUGCAGAGCUAUUAACUGCUCCUGUGAAAGAUUCAGUUAAAAAGUGGGACAAAGUACCCAACCAAAGCUUUUGAAAGAAUAUAUAAUCCACAUUGCCUUAACCCUCCAAAUACCUAUCUGCAUAACAGAAUAAAAGUGCAGGUAUUGUAUAUUUUAGAGAUAUAUAAGAUGACCAUUUCGGAUUUUUUAUCUGAAUCUCCUUUCUGAUCUGUGCUGCAGAUCUAUUCCUUGCUUGCAUGUUUGCAUGCUCUUCUGGCCAGAUGUUUAAAGUACUAUUGUUCUUUGUAUACAGGGAAAAUAAAAUGUCCUUUAAAAAACUCACACAUAAUAAAGAAACUCAAACCUACAAAUAUAUCAAUGGAAAAUGUUUUCUUUUCUAAAAUGGUCUCUCAGUGGGUGUGACCCAAGACCACAGAAGGUGUCACAGACUGUUGU
Non-coding RNA from Cyanistes caeruleus (blue tit), 985 nucleotides. The record is from RefSeq and is a predicted model, not a curated record. NCBI's taxonomy places the organism in Eukaryota, Metazoa, Chordata, Aves, Passeriformes, Paridae.